AUGGGCCGGCCGUCCCAGGACACCGCGUCGUCCACCUCGCCGUCCGGCUCGUGCCGCUCGUCCAAGCGCGGCCCGCGGCUCGACCGCCGCAACGCGUCCAAGAACAUCGGCUACGAGUACGACCCCGCCAAGCUCUUCUGCAGCUACCCGCCGUCCCCGUCCCGGGCCUCCUCGGCCUCGGCCUCCGCCGCGCCCUCGCUCGCCAGCUCCGCCGCCUGCUCCGUCGACCUCAGCAGCUUCCGCAUCGGCGGCAGCGGCGACGGCGGCGGCGACGUCCAGCUCCUCUGCCGCAACCUCGGCCUCUCCGGCCCCGAGGACUUUGCCAUCUCCCUCACCGACUGGGAGGCGCACAAGGCCUUCCGCUCCUCCGCCUCCAGCUCCCCUUCCGCGCGCUCGCAGCCCGACCGCGCCGUUCGGGAGUCCCCGCUCCGCCACGAGGCCGCCGAGGACCCGGCCUUGCCCGCGGCCGCUGAUUUCGAGCUCCCUGCCAAGGAAACUGCCAGGGACGCGCCGGUUGAGGCGCCAGUGCGGCCGGCAUGGUUGGAUCCGCCAGAGCCAGCCCGUCCCGAUGUGAGGAAACCAGGCUGCGAUGGAGGGAUUAAGGGCGUGCGCCCUCCGCCGGUGAUGCUCAAGCCACCGCCGUCGAUGGCGCUGCCGCCCGCCGCCCAGGUUGGUUCCACGUGGGAUCUCCUGCUGUCUUUCGCGCCAGAGGAGCAAGGGCAACCACAGGCAAUCAGAUCUGUUCCUGAUUUUGGAGACCCGGAUGCCGAGGAGGACGAGGAUGCGGCGGAAGUGUUGACGUUGGAAGAUCUCAGGCUGGGGGAGAGCUCCGAGGAAUUCACAGGCACGUCCUCGAUAUCCACGACAAACGACGAUGAGACAACCGAGUCUAUGUUCUACAUCUCGCCCAACGGGAGGUUUAAGAGGAAGAUCCGGUCGUGGAGUCGAGGUGUGCUCUUGGGGAGUGGCUCCUUUGGGACGGUCUAUGAGGGGAUCAGCGACGAGGGUGUCUUUUUUGCUGUCAAAGAAGUGUCCUUACAUGAUCAAGGGAGCAACGCACAGCAGUGUAUUUUCCAACUUGAGCAGGAAAUUGCACUCUUGAGUCAGUUUGAACAUGAGAAUAUAGUACACUACUUCGGAACUGACAAAGAGGACUCGAAACUAUACAUCUUCCUUGAACUAGUGACCCAAGGAUCUCUUGUAUCUUUGUAUCAGAAGUACCGCCUACGAGAUACUCAUGUUUCGGCAUACACAAGACAAAUACUUAAUGGAUUGAAUUACCUCCAUGAGAGGAAUAUUGUUCAUAGAGAUAUUAAAUGUGCCAACAUACUGGUGCAUGCGAAUGGAUCUGUGAAGCUUGCGGACUUUGGACUUGCUAAGCAGACCUCCAAACUCAAUGUGCUAAAAUCAUGCAAAGGAACUGUAUAUUGGAUGGCACCUGAGGUCGUCAAUCCCAAGAAGACAUAUGGACCUGCAGCUGAUAUAUGGAGUUUGGGUUGCACGGUCCUAGAGAUGUUGACACGUCAACUUCCCUAUCCUGAUCUGGAGUGGACACAAGCCCUAUACAGGAUUGGUAAGGGUGAACCACCAGCAAUUCCAAGUGGUCUUUCGAAGGAAGCUCGUGAUUUCAUUAGCCAGUGUGUAAAACCGAAUCCAGAAGACAGACCAUCCGCAGCCAAACUUUUGGACCAUCCUUUUGUGAAUAGAUCUAUGCGGUCUAUACGGUCUAUGAGGACAUAUACACGCCCAAAUUCUUCUACACGUGGCAUGAGUGGAUAG
Molecule: ribosomal RNA, 1779 nt
Filed under: Triticum aestivum (bread wheat)
Lineage: Eukaryota; Viridiplantae; Streptophyta; Magnoliopsida; Poales; Poaceae
Description: partial small subunit ribosomal RNA
Source: RNAcentral